This 505-nucleotide ribosomal RNA is filed under the name uncultured bacterium. RNAcentral describes it as "partial 16S ribosomal RNA". It matches the Rfam family "Bacterial small subunit ribosomal RNA", at positions 29 to 522 of the family's 1533-position model. The record is from RNAcentral.
AGUGAACGCUGGCGGUAGGCCUAACACAUGCAAGUCGAACGGCAGCACAGAGGAGCUUGCUCCUUGGGUGGCGAGUGGCGGACGGGUGAGGAAUACAUCGGAAUCUACUCUGUCGUGGGGGAUAACGUAGGGAAACUUACGCUAAUACCGCAUACGACCUACGGGUGAAAGCAGGGGACCUUCGGGCCUUGCGCGAUUGAAUGAGCCGAUGUCGGAUUAGCUAGUUGGCGGGGUAAAGGCACACCAAGGCGACGAUCCGUAGCUGGUCUGAGAGGAUGAUCAGCCACACUGGAACUGAGACACGGUCCAGACGCCUACGGGAGGCAGCAGUGGGGAAUAUUGGACAAUGGGCGCAAGCCUGAUCCAGCCAUACCGCGUGGGUGAAGAAGGCCUUCGGGUUGUAAAGCCCUUUUGUUGGGAAAGAGAUCCAGCUGGCUAAUACCCGGUUGGGAUGACGGUACCUAAAGAAUAAGCACCGGCUAACUUCGUGCCAGCAGCCGCCUAA